GUGAGAGGAAGGUAGAAUUCCAGGUGUAGCGGUGAAAUGCGUAGAGAUCUGGAGGAAUACCGAUGGCGAAGGCAGCUUUCUGGCAUCAUAUUGACACUGAGGUUCGAAAGCGUGGGUAGCAAACAGGAUUAGAUACCCUGGUAGUCCACGCCGUAAACGAUGUCUACUAGUCGUUGGGUCCCUUGAGGACUUAGUGACGCAGCUAACGCAAUAAGUAGACCGCCUGGGGAGUACGGCCGCAAGGUUAAAACUCAAAUGAAUUGACGGGGGCCCGCACAAGCGGUGGAGCAUGUGGUUUAAUUCGAUGCAACGCGAAGAACCUUACCUGGUCUUGACAUAUCUAGAAUCCUGCAGAGAUGCGGGAGUGCCUUCGGGAAUUAGAAUACAGGUGCUGCAUGGCUGUCGUCAGCUCGUGUCGUGAGAUGUUGGGUUAAGUCCCGCAACGAGCGCAACCCUUGUCCUUAGUUACCAGCGGGUUAAGCCGGGAACUCUAAGGAUACUGCCAGUGACAAACUGGAGGAAGGCGGGGACGACGUCAAGUCAUCAUGGCCCUUACGACCAGGGCUACACACGUGCUACAAUGGUAGGUACAGAGGGCAGCUACACAGCGAUGUGAUGCGAAUCUUUCAAAGCCUAUCGUAGUCCAGAUUGGAGUCUGCAACUCGACUCCAUGAAGUAGGAAUCGCUAGUAAUCGCGGAUCAGAAUGCCGCGGUGAAUACGUUCCCGGGCCUUGUACACACCGCCCGUCACACCAUGGGAGUUGAUUGCACCAGAAGUGGUUAGCCUAACGUAAGAGGGCGAUCACCACGGUGUGGUUGAUGACUGGGGUGAAGUCGUAACAAGGUAACCGUA
This 853-nucleotide ribosomal RNA is filed under the name uncultured bacterium. RNAcentral's name for it is "bacterial SSU rRNA". It matches the Rfam family "Bacterial small subunit ribosomal RNA", at positions 650 to 1504 of the family's 1533-position model. The record is from RNAcentral.